Molecule: ribosomal RNA, 506 nt
Filed under: uncultured bacterium
Lineage: Bacteria
Description: partial 16S ribosomal RNA
Rfam family: Bacterial small subunit ribosomal RNA
Source: RNAcentral
AGUGAACGCUGGCGGUAGGCCUAACACAUGCAAGUCGAACGGCAGCACAGAGGAGCUUGCUCCUUGGGUGGCGAGUGGCGGACGGGUGAGGAAUACAUCGGAAUCUACUCUGUCGUGGGGGAUAACGUAGGGAAACUUACGCUAAUACCGCAUACGACCUACGGGUGAAAGCAGGGGAUCUUCGGACCUUGCGCGAUUGAAUGAGCCGAUGUCGGAUUAGCUAGUUGGCGGGGUAAAGGCCCACCAAGGCGACGAUCCGUAGCUGGUCUGAAAGGUGGAUCAGACACACUGGAACUGGAGCAAGGUCCAGACUCCUACGGGAGGCAGCAGGGGGGAAUAUUGGACAAUGGGCGCAAGCCUGAUCCAGCCAUACCGCGUGGGUGAAGAAGGCCUUCGGGUUGUAAAGCCCUUUUGUUGGGAAAGAAAUCCAGCUGGCUAAUACCCGGUUGGGAUGACGGUACCCAAAGAAUAAGCACCGGCUAACUUCGUGCCAGCAGCCGCCGUAA